AGUUUUGGAUUUGGAUGUAAAAACAAAAUUAGGUGGAAUUGUUGUUCCUGUGAUCGGAAGUCCCUAUUAAGGACCGGGGAUAUUUGCUCCAUAUAUAUCUUGCUUUCUGCGUCAUUUGUGGGCCAAUCUGCGCCUUCCAAAGGUUCCUGCAAUUGGAAAAGUGUCCCUGAUCUUUUGGUUUUUUUCAAGGUCUGCCAUGAUAUGGUGAUUACGAAGUGAUUCCAGCUCAAAAUAUAAAUGCUUUUUGAUGAUUUCGCACGUUCUGGGCCAUACAUUUGAUUUGCUUUCACACCGUGGCCUAAAAAGAGGCUUCGACUUCGACUUCGGCUUCCUGUUCAACAAGUAAAAGGCCUGCCCAGGUGUGAUAUAUCGUUUAUAUAAAUCUUCAUAUGGAGAUAUAUCUAAUACUGAUUCUAUCGAAAGAAUUGUUGGUUAUCUAGUAGAUACGGAUUGGAAUGAUGAUUUGGAAGCGCCUUUUGACCCCCUUCAAUCACGCCUCACGCUGCCAUCUCUAGCGUUGAACUACAUCUUCCAAUUUCGGAGUAUUCAUUUACUUGAGUUUCACUUUGAAAUGCAAACCAGAGGCAAAACGUGGCGCACAACGCAUCCAUAUCCGCUAAUUACGCAGCCACCAGCGGCCUGGCCUGGCCUGGCCCCUGCCCAUACCCCAGACCUCAGACCCCAUGGAAAGUGUAAACAAAUUUUGUGUGCGUGUGAUUCUACCCCCGCGGAAAAGUUUUCCGCUGAAGCGAUGGACAAGCUCUCGGAAGAGAGGGAGAGAGAGAGCUUUACACACAGAUCAAAGUGCUGGUUUUUUUUCUCUUCGGGUCUUUGACGGAACCAAUAAACAUGUUCGGCACUUUAUUUACAUUGGCUUCCGGUUGAAUUCAGUAUUUUUUCCCCC
Molecule: small RNA, 904 nt
Filed under: Drosophila pseudoobscura pseudoobscura
Lineage: Eukaryota; Metazoa; Arthropoda; Insecta; Diptera; Drosophilidae
Description: GA32773
Source: RNAcentral